Molecule: transfer RNA, 82 nt
Filed under: Orrella dioscoreae
Lineage: Bacteria; Pseudomonadati; Pseudomonadota; Betaproteobacteria; Burkholderiales; Alcaligenaceae
Rfam family: tRNA
About the family: Transfer RNA (tRNA) molecules are approximately 80 nucleotides in length. Their secondary structure includes four short double-helical elements and three loops (D, anti-codon, and T loops). Further hydrogen bonds mediate the characteristic L-shaped molecular structure. tRNAs have two regions of fundamental functional importance: the anti-codon, which is responsible for specific mRNA codon recognition, and the 3' end, to which the tRNAs corresponding amino acid is attached (by aminoacyl-tRNA synthetases). tRNAs cope with the degeneracy of the genetic code in two manners: having more than one tRNA (with a specific anti-codon) for a particular amino acid; and 'wobble' base-pairing, i.e. permitting non-standard base-pairing at the 3rd anti-codon position.
Source: Rfam by way of RNAcentral
GCCCGAGUGGUGAAAUGGUAGACACAGGAGACUUAAAAUCUCCCGACCUCAGGUCGUGCCGGUUCGAGUCCGGCCUCGGGCA